GUGGAUGUGCUUAGGAGUGGUUAUCGGGCAUGACUAGAAAUCAUGUGGGUUCUACCUGCGCAGGUUCGAAUCACUGCCAUUCACG
Molecule: non-coding RNA, 85 nt
Organism: Sphenostylis stenocarpa
Lineage: Eukaryota; Viridiplantae; Streptophyta; Magnoliopsida; Fabales; Fabaceae
Source: the annotation of a GenBank genome assembly